AGAAUCAACGCUGGCGGCGUGCCUAACACAUGCAAGUCGAACGAGAAAGUGGGAGCAAUCCCAUGAGUAAAGUGGCGCACGGGUGAGUAACACGUGACUAACCUACCCUUGAGUGGGGGAUAACCUAGGGAAACCUGGGCUAAUACCGCAUAAUACCUACGGGUCAAAGGAGCAAUUCGCUUUAGGAGGGGGUCGCGGCAGAUUAGUUAGUUGGCGGGGUAAUGGCCCACCAAGACAGUGAUCUGUAUCCGGCCUGAGAGGGCGCACGGACACACUGGAACUGAAACACGGUCCAGACUCCUACGGGAGGCAGCAGUGGGGAAUUUUGAGCAAUGGGGGAAACCCUGACGCAGCAACGCCGCGUGGAGGAUGAAGCCCCUUGGGGCGUAAACUCCUUUCGAUCGGGAAGAUAAUGACGGUACCGGAAGAAGAAGCCCCGGCUAACUUCGCGCCAGCAGCCGC
RNAcentral lists this ribosomal RNA (462 nucleotides) under uncultured bacterium. Its description in RNAcentral is "SSU rRNA". It matches the Rfam family "Bacterial small subunit ribosomal RNA", at positions 26 to 518 of the family's 1533-position model. The record is from RNAcentral.